RNAcentral lists this ribosomal RNA (253 nucleotides) under uncultured bacterium. RNAcentral's name for it is "partial 16S ribosomal RNA". It matches the Rfam family "Bacterial small subunit ribosomal RNA", at positions 524 to 776 of the family's 1533-position model. The record is from RNAcentral.
UACAGAGGUCCCAAGCGUUGUUCGGAUUUACUGGGCGUAAAGGGUGCGUAGGUGGCUGAUAAAGUCUGAUGUGAAAUCUCGGUGCUUAACUCCGAAACUGCAUUGGAUACUCAUUAGCUUGAGGUAUGGAGGGGAGGUUGGAAUUCUCGGUGUAGCAGUGAAAUGCGUAGAUAUCGAGAGGAACACCAGUGGCGAAGGCGAAUCUCUGGACAUUACCUGACACUGAGGCACGAAAGCCAAGGGAGCAAACGGG